AUGGAAACAAGGUAUUUAGCAGCUGGCUAGGUAGAUCAUGUCGACAGCCUCAGUUCAUCACCAACCCAGUUUCGACAGUGAGCUCGGGGAGCUGAGUUUGGGUUGGUUCAAGGGAUUUCCUAUUUCGAAGGUAUAAUCUCGAACUAGAUUCUUGUGUUGGUGAUCAGAAAUUAUGCUACUGAGCUUGGUUUGAUAUGAUGAAAUUGAAGGCACUGUUAUCGAAUUGGUUAUGUUGUCUAGAAUUUUAAUUAUUUGAGUUGAUGUCUGCUGUGGGCUAUGUUAAUUGUAAUGGUG
RNAcentral lists this long non-coding RNA (294 nucleotides) under Rosa chinensis. RNAcentral describes it as "sRNA RchiOBHm_Chr5g0064351". Lineage: Eukaryota; Viridiplantae; Streptophyta; Magnoliopsida; Rosales; Rosaceae. The record is from RNAcentral.